GAAAGAAAGACAAAAUGGGGGGAAAUGAAAGAGAAUUAAAGCAUGAGUGGAAGCCCGUUCCAAGUUUCCUACAGUGUGGAACAAUAAAGCAAAUCUUGAAUAAUAAAAAAAAAGAGGAAAUAAAGAAAGAAAAUGAAGAAUGGGCAGACAAUGGAAGGAGCCAGUCUGAGAAUUCUGGGGAAAAUUGUUGUGGGAAGCAAAACUGAAGUAACCUAGAAUAAAUGACAGGUUAAAAGUACAUCAGAAAGGUAAAUUAUGGCUGGAAUGCACCACACUUCACAGACAGCGCAAGAUGAUCCAAUAAGGGUUGUUUUUUUUCCUUUAAUUACAGAGUUCACUUCAGUUAUCUGAUGUAGCAAUCACAUUGUCAUCCCCCUGUAUUUGCUUUAUGCUUAUCUGACAUAGCCCCUCCCGUAGAGUUUGACGGGCAGAGCACAACACAAACGCUGCCAAGGCUGUGGGUUUGAUUACUAGCGGGACCACCUAUGCUAAAAAUGCACACGCUCACAGUACAGUAAGGCAGCUUGGGUAAAAACAUCCACCAAAUGGACUACGCUAUGUUAAAAGAAUACACUGCUGAGCGUUUGCCUGCCAAGACAACACAAGAGGACAUUUACUCAGCCAUAACAACCUCAAUGCAAGGUCAGGCUUCUCCGCCACACUGAGGGCUGAAAUUCAUUUGAAUACCUUUGGCAGCGUGUAGAAGUUUAGAGGGAUGCGGAGUGGUGCUCCAGAAUAUUCAAAUUGUUGAUGCUGAGAGUUCAACGACAUCUGUGAAUGUUUUGAUGACCUCUUGUAAUUGCACACUACAAGAAGUGAUGUUUUGAAAGAAAAUAUGCUUCAAACUUAACUUGUCUGUGGUGAGACCAAUAAAAUGGAGUACAGUG
Molecule: long non-coding RNA, 887 nt
Organism: Siniperca chuatsi (mandarin fish)
Lineage: Eukaryota; Metazoa; Chordata; Actinopteri; Centrarchiformes; Sinipercidae
Exons: 2
Source: RefSeq, a predicted model, not a curated record